AAUACUUGAAUGACUGAGUAAGACAACUCGUAUCCAAGCAUUUGAGAAGAGGAAUUGAAAACUCAAAACCAUCUCCUUUUUCGUAUAGUUUGUCAUAAAAAUGAUUUGAUUAACUUGUAUGUUUGUGAAAAAUGACAAUUGUUUGACUGACCGAGUAAGAGAACUCGUAUUCAAACAAUUGGGGAGAGAAGUUGAAGGCUCAAAA
This 205-nucleotide long non-coding RNA is filed under the name Lathyrus oleraceus (garden pea). Its description in RNAcentral is "Pisum sativum (pea) long non-coding RNA (PSAT_LNC035456)". Lineage: Eukaryota; Viridiplantae; Streptophyta; Magnoliopsida; Fabales; Fabaceae. The record is from RNAcentral.